AAGCAUGUGUCCAGGGCUGUGGCUGCUUGUAGCCACGGGAUCUCCAACUACACGCCAGAGUAACGGGGAGCCUGUGACAGCCCAGGUCACCACAGGGCCUGCAGCUGCUGCUCAGCUUUCCUAUGUAU
This is a small nucleolar RNA of Apodemus sylvaticus (European woodmouse), 128 nucleotides long. RefSeq annotates it as small nucleolar RNA SNORA44. The transcript has a single exon. Lineage: Eukaryota; Metazoa; Chordata; Mammalia; Rodentia; Muridae. The record is from RefSeq and is a predicted model, not a curated record.